Long non-coding RNA from Musa acuminata AAA Group (dessert banana), 2720 nucleotides. RefSeq lists it as uncharacterized. The transcript is spliced from 5 exons. The record is from RefSeq and is a predicted model, not a curated record. NCBI's taxonomy places the organism in Eukaryota, Viridiplantae, Streptophyta, Magnoliopsida, Zingiberales, Musaceae.
GGUCGGUUACUACUACAUUUCAAUGAACGUCUCGCACAUUCACGUCGUCUUUUCCGCUUUGGUUCUCCUCUCGGGAGCAGAAGAAUGGAAUCCGUGGCCUCCCUUACGUUUCCAGAUCUCAUCUCGAUUAGGGUUUUCUUGCUCUCGAUCUUAACGUCUGACCUAAUGGAACGCGAGUCUAGUCCUUUUUCUUGCCCGUGAUUCAUCGGAACUUGGUAACUUCUUCGUCUUUCUCCAGAUCGUCUUUGUGUUGCUGCUUAUUCAAUGAUGUCGUACGAACCCGUACGAUCGAGGUACGUGAAGCUCACCAAGGACCAGGAUGCGCCGUUAGAGGAGAUCCGCCCAGGAGAGCUCAAUCAACCCGUUCGCGUUCCCCAGUUGGGGGUCCGCCGGUGUCCCGAGUGCGGGCAACCUUUGCCUGAAAGCUAUGAGCCACCUGCUGAUGAAUCUUGAACUACUGCAAUUGGUGGCUGUGCUAAGGAUCCUGAGAGCUAACUCUCCAUGUCAACCUUGUAUGGUCCAUUGCUGCAUGCAUUGGUGUGCCAUCUGUCAGGAGCAUUGAGAAAUGAAAGGUCAGUUAUCCGGUGAUCUUGUGCAGAUUACAGUUGUCAAUCCACCGGCGGUGCAAGAAAUAAGCAACCAUAGUUUGAGCCUACAUGCUGAAUUGGAGAUGAAAGCAUUAUGGUUCAUCUGAUUUCCAGCACAGGUCGAGAACUUCUAGCAGAAGAAAGAAGGCUGAAAGAUCAACUCUUUUAUGUUUCUUCUUUUAACAAACUUUAAUGACAUCUCAAGGAAAAUUGCUGGACACCAAGGUGCUCAGAUCUAGGCAUUUUCUGUAUAUGAAGAUUCUAUGCUUGUUCAGAUAAAGAGAGUCUGAUGGAUUUGCUUCGUCGAACUUUAAUGCGCGGUUGCUGCAAUCAAGUGAUGGGACCAACUCAUAGAGCCCGAGACGUCGGGAGCAUAUUAACUUCAAUCAUGGCGGACGACGUCAUUUCACGGCCAUAAACCAUCUCCAUGGAUUCGCCACGUUUUCCUUGCACGCCCACGAGACGAAAUCUCGGCUCCCUCCCCUCUUGACUGUGAGUAUUCUCUUUUUGAUUGAUAUAACAGCCUUUCACAUCAACGCCAUGCUCACCUUAUCACCAACUUCGCUCUACUUUAUUGCUCACAAUACUUGAGAUAGACUGCUGCAAACCCUUGUUCGCGAUACUUACUUUUCUUGCUUUUCGUUGGAGUACUAUAUAGAUUAUAAGGAAUCCUUUUAGCGUGGCUGGAGGAUCGCAUGCUGACAAGAUCUAUAGGGUUUGGAUUUUCACGAAACAUGCACAGUAGAUUCUUCGAUAGCCUUGUAAAGCAUAUUCGAUAGAUUUCAUCCCACGUUUUUUAUUUAUUAUUUUAUAUAUGAUAUCGUUUCUCACAAUCUAAUCUGAUAAACUGCUUCACCUUUUAGUAUAUGAUUAAAAUGAUAGAAGAUAAGAAUGAUUAUUGAAUAAGCUUUAUUGAAGUAACUUUAGCUUGAAUACGAAUCUUGGAUCGAUGCAAAGAAUGGUUUAUGAGCCAAGGCUUCGUGAGUAGGGCAAGAGCAGAUCGUUGCUGCUAUUGUUGUUAUUGUUGUUGUUGCAGCUGCGACGACGACGACCAUAGUAGAGGAGAAAGCUGUAGUAAUAGAAAAAACUAUAGCAAUGCUGUAGCAAAGGAAUAAGCUACAAUAAAGGAGGAAGUUGUAGUAGAGGAGGAAGUUGCAGCGAUGUUAUAGCAGAGGAGGAAGCUACAGCAGAGGUGCAGCAGAGGAGAAAGCUGCAAUAGAGGUACAGUAGAGGAGGAAGCUGCAAAAGAGGAGGAAGCUACAACGAUGCCAUAAUAGAGAAGAAGGCUACAGCAAAGGAGGAAAGGUGGGGCAGUGCUAGUGAGCGUAGCACUAGAGACGCCACAGCGGAAGGGAACGGACGUUGGUGUAGAGUGGAAGUGGAGAAGACAGUUGUCGUUCGCCGAGGAGGAAAGAUUUAUCGCACCGAUGGCCUGAUGAUGGAAAAGCAAUAGUAGAAAGCUUUUUCUUUUGCCACCGAAGGUGGAGAAGCAACAAAUAAGUCGACAUUGAGAAGAGAGCUUGCUUUAGGCAAGUGGCUCUGAUACCAUGAUAAAAAUGAUAGAAGAUAAGAACAAUUAUUGAAGAAACUUUAUUGAAGUAACUUUAGCUUGAAUAUAUUAACAUGUCCCUCUCAAUCUUAUCUUCUAUCAGUAUAAAGAUAAGGUCAUUCACCCUUUGGUAUGAAUUAUUAGUUCUAAAUGUUUAAGUCCAACCUAUCAACUAAUUCGACUUUCCCCUUAUGAUUCAAAUAUAGUCUAGAAUUAAAAUCUUUUCAAGUAUAGUGCUUCUGUCAUCCUCGUAAGGCUCAAAUAUUAUUCGCACUUGAUGUUCAGCACAGAAUUUGUUGAUGUACUGUGAUAACUAGUUCUUUAGCUUGAUAAAUCUAAACCACUAGCUCAAAACAUUUAAUCCAAAUUAAUGAUAGUAGAAUCAUUAAUUUAAUAUGAUGAAAAUGAAUCAUUAGCCAAAAUAUAUAGGUGUUAAUACAUGAAAGUCAAGAUUGCAAUGCAUCAUCUCUAUUGAAACAUUCUCUCAGUUAGCAUACUAUUAUACCGUUGAUAGGACUUAAGUUUGAGUUCGAAUAAGAAUUUAAUAUAAUACAAAUUUCAAUGCAUAAAACCUUAUAUAAUUU